CACGUAGGGCGCAAGCGUUGUCCGGAAUUAUUGGGCGUAAAGAGCUCGUAGGCGGUCUGUUGCGUCCGCUGUGAAAACUCGGGGCUUAACCCCGAGCCUGCAGUGGAUACGGGCCGGCUGGAGGCAGGCAGGGGAGAAUGGAAUUCCCGGUGUAGCGGUGAAAUGCGCAGAUAUCGGGAGGAACACCGGUGGCGAAGGCGGUUCUCUGGGCCUGUUCUGACGCUGAGGAGCGAAAGCGUGGGGAGCGAACAGG
Molecule: ribosomal RNA, 253 nt
Filed under: uncultured prokaryote
Description: partial 16S ribosomal RNA
Rfam family: Bacterial small subunit ribosomal RNA
Source: RNAcentral